RNAcentral lists this ribosomal RNA (474 nucleotides) under uncultured bacterium. RNAcentral's name for it is "partial 16S ribosomal RNA". It matches the Rfam family "Bacterial small subunit ribosomal RNA", at positions 28 to 523 of the family's 1533-position model. The record is from RNAcentral.
GACGAACGCUGGCGGCGUGCUUAACACAUGCAAGUCGAACGGUAAGGCCCUUCGGGGUACACGAGUGGCGAACGGGUGAGUAACACGUGGGUGAUCUGCCCUGCACUUCGGGAUAAGCCUGGGAAACUGGGUCUAAUACCGGAUAGGACCACUGCCUGCAUGGGUGGUGGUGGAAAGCUUUUGCGGUGUGGGAUGGGCCCGCGGCCUAUCAGCUAGUUGGUAAGGUAACGGCUUACCAAGGCUAUGACGGGUAGCUGGAUUGAGAGAUCGAUCAGCCACAGGGGAACUGAGACACGGUCCCCACUCCUACGGGAGGCAGCAGCGAGGAAUCUUCCGCAAUGGGCGAAAGCCUGACGGAGCAACACCGCGUGAAGGAUGAAGUCUUCCGGGAUGUAAACUUCUUUUCUGAGGGAAGAAUUCUGACGGUACCUUAGGAAUAAGCACCGGCUAACUCUGUGCCAGCCGCCGCAGUAA